Molecule: long non-coding RNA, 481 nt
Filed under: Pongo abelii (Sumatran orangutan)
Lineage: Eukaryota; Metazoa; Chordata; Mammalia; Primates; Hominidae
Description: lincRNA
Source: RNAcentral
AGCCAGAGCUUGGGAUCCCUUUCUGCUGUUCAACGUCCUCCACCUCUGCCCCCCUCUCCCCCAAGCCGGUGACAGGCUGUUGCCCUGUGAUCUGCAGGUCCUGGGACGUGCACAGCUAAGAUGCCAGGACAUUCUAGAAGGUGGGAAAGGCAUCUGAGUGAUUUGACUCUCCUGCCUGGACCCAGUGUACAGAUGGGAUUGUGCUUUAUUGCUGGACCCAGCAUUUAGGCCCACUACCUCUGGGAUUGCAUGCUCCUGCCUGGGCUGUGCCCACAGUGACCUUGUGACAUAUAUGUGCAUCCAUGACCUAAAAGAUGUGACACUUCUUGCCUGCAACCUGCCCUGCACAGGAAAGAUUGUGACUUCUCCCUGGAACCAGAUACCAGGAGAUAAUUGUAACAUAUCCCUGGCUGAGCACCCAGGUGAUGUGAUACUCCUGCUUGGUUCUUUCCCUCCGGGAAGAUUGUGAGAUACCCUUGGC